Long non-coding RNA from Rosa chinensis, 740 nucleotides. RefSeq lists it as uncharacterized. NCBI's taxonomy places the organism in Eukaryota, Viridiplantae, Streptophyta, Magnoliopsida, Rosales, Rosaceae. The record is from RefSeq and is a predicted model, not a curated record. The transcript is spliced from 3 exons.
GUAACAGCCAACCGAAACCGUACCAUUCAACUCGGGGAUCCUAUGGAAGAAGAAGAAGAUGAAGCAGAGGAAGAGGCACUGCUGAAGUCAUCUUAUGGUUGUUCUUGGAAAAAUAUGAUUCAAACUACCCAAUACCCAUCAUCACUAUUUUCAAUUAAGAUAUUCUUGUUCCUGGGAAUGCAAACGCUGGAAAGUUCAAUACAAAGGCAAAUCUCCAGGUGAAUCUAUCCAAUAAUAGGGACAAUAUCCGAACGCUAAGUCUUGUGCUUAUCUUGAGAGUGGUUUAAUACUUGCUAAGAGUGGCAAUCCUGUUUUAAUAUCAAGUCUGGUCUUUCCGCAGCACAAGAGUUAUAGUGAUAUUUUCGAGAAAUGAUCCCCUUGUGCUUUCUUCCUCAGGAACCUCCACCUUAAAUAUUCCAGUGGGUAAUCACACUGCAGUGUAAGGUGGAGGUCCUGAGGAAGAAAACACAAGGUUCAGUUCAUAUGUAUUUAUUACAACUACAGCUUAUCUUUUUGGGGGUACUGAGUUUACUAUUAAACUUGUGUUUUAGAAAUGUCAGACUUCGAUAUAGAGGGUUUCAGCAUAAUGUGUAGACUACUCAAUUUUGGCAUCAGUAUUCUCAGCUAUUAGUAGAGAGGUUGAUAUGUACUUUCUUUCUUGUGUUUGAUAUGCUAAUUGAGCAAAUGUAGACAUUGUGAUACUGGGGUAUAUAUCUUCUUCUAUCUAUGCCAAUUGACAA